UCUUAAAAUUACCCUUGAAGACAGUAAGC
This 29-nucleotide non-coding RNA is filed under the name Rattus norvegicus (Norway rat). The record is from RNAcentral. Lineage: Eukaryota; Metazoa; Chordata; Mammalia; Rodentia; Muridae.